CGGAGUGUGGCGCAGCCUGGUAGCGCACUUGCAUGGGGUGCAAGGGGUCGUGGGUUCGAAUCCCGCCACUCCGACCA
RNAcentral lists this transfer RNA (77 nucleotides) under Gammaproteobacteria bacterium. RNAcentral describes it as "tRNA-Pro". It matches the Rfam family "tRNA". Rfam says of the family: Transfer RNA (tRNA) molecules are approximately 80 nucleotides in length. Their secondary structure includes four short double-helical elements and three loops (D, anti-codon, and T loops). Lineage: Bacteria; Pseudomonadati; Pseudomonadota; Gammaproteobacteria. The record is from RNAcentral.